UGUAGCUCAGUGGUAGAGCACUUGUCUAGCAUGUGUCAAGUACCUGGGUUCAAUUCCCAGUA
Molecule: transfer RNA, 62 nt
Filed under: Heterocephalus glaber (naked mole-rat)
Lineage: Eukaryota; Metazoa; Chordata; Mammalia; Rodentia; Bathyergidae
Rfam family: tRNA
About the family: Transfer RNA (tRNA) molecules are approximately 80 nucleotides in length. Their secondary structure includes four short double-helical elements and three loops (D, anti-codon, and T loops).
Source: Rfam by way of RNAcentral